This is a long non-coding RNA of Diorhabda sublineata, 2628 nucleotides long. RefSeq lists it as uncharacterized. NCBI's taxonomy places the organism in Eukaryota, Metazoa, Arthropoda, Insecta, Coleoptera, Chrysomelidae. The transcript has 2 exons. The record is from RefSeq and is a predicted model, not a curated record.
AAAGUUUAAUUGUUAUGGUCAGAAACAAUAUCAAAACAUCUUUGGUUAAGCACAUUUAAUAUUUUCGGAAAGAACCAGUUAUCGCAUGGUCCAAGACAUAAAACAGCGUCGAUUUGGUACACGACGUUUGAGUUCGUAAACUGCUAGAUAAAAGUUAGUUCAUCACCAAACGGUAUUUGUGGCUGUUCUUUCUGGCCGGAAAUGAAAAUAGCAGCCUGUUUUCUACAACGAGAAAUAUGCCGGAAAAAUUGAUAAGGUCCACGAGUGCAAGAGAACAGCUAGAAAUACCGGUGGGUGAUGAACUAACUUUUAUCUAGUAACGCGACUGCUAUGUCGAGCAUGUUGGAGGGACGAGGUAAUACAAAGAACCAUAAGACUGUGAACAGGACUACAACUUUUAAUUUUUUUUAUAUGUAUUAACUGUUAUUUAUCUGUUUAUAUGUGUCAACUUCUAAUCUUUUCAAUUUUUAUAUCGAGACUUCUUUAUACUGUGAUGGAAAAUGUUCUUACACUGUGAUAUAACAUAUAUAGAUUGUAGCCAAAAAUGUAUACUUUGCUUCUUUAUUCAGUAUAGAUUUAAUAAGGCUGCUUAUGAUGCACAGUUCUAUUGUUAAACUACAGUGAAGCAAGUAAGAUCUUCAUUUUGUAGAAAACUUUUGUUAGCAUAGUUGAUAAUUGUGCAAAAUACCAUGAGAAAACUUCAGCGGGACAAUGGGAUAUCCAUUUUGUUAAAGUCCUCGAUAUCCAUUGCGAUUGCUGGUUAUGAUAGACAAGGUCACUGGAAAACUCCGGUGAAGCAAUAAUAAAGGAGCAUUUUUAUAAUGCUACUCCUGAUAUACACUGCGAUUAGAAAAAUCUAGUUGAACAAGCAGGAUUUUUAUAAUGUGAUCUUCUGUAAGCAUUUUUCGGAAGGACAUUAAAACCAAUCAAAUGAAGUGCAAAAUCUCGUUAUCAUGUCAACUUCUAGCCUUGGAAUUAUUUCGCUUUUUUAACUUAAAGGUUUAACUGUAUCUCCAUGCUUGAUAGAUAGAUAUUGAAUCACAAAAAGAUGACAAAAAAAUAGUUUGAUUAGUAAAGUAUGGAAUAUGAGAAUUAUAAAACACUUUCUAUAAAAAUUUUAUAUGAAAAAUAUUAUUUAGGUUGUUUUUUUUUAAUACAAUAAAUGACACCUACCGAUCACAAACAUCUAAAGUAUUUUUGUUUUCGCCUUCUACUGGGGGAGUAUUAUCAAAAGCUGCCAUAACCUCUUCCACAUUUUCAACAAUACCACUAUCUUCAGCAAAGUGUUGUUCGGGCCAUUGCACUCUAUUUUGCACUAAUUUUUCGUUAUUUUCGGACUCAUGUUCUGACUUAUUUUCUUGUAUAUUACAGUGGUCUUGGCAUAUAUCUCUAUCUUGAAGAAUAUCUGAUCCGUCGAUUUGAUCUCCUUCCAGAAUAACUGAAAUAGGAUACGUCGAGGGUAAUUGAGUAGCUGGUUUAUCGUCUUCUGAAUAUGAAGAAGCAGCCGAUUGACUUCGAGUCAUUCGUAAUGUAUUUUGGCUACUGGAGGGUUGGUAAAGGCUUUGCGUAACGUCGCGUGCUAGAGCUGUUGGCGGUCGGACUUUCACUCGGAAGAACUUGGUGCAUUUUGGUACUUUGUAUCUAUUAUCCGACUAAAAAUAAAAAUAAGUUGAAAUAAUAUAUUUUAAUUAAUCACUUUAUAGCAAAAAUAUCGCCAACAACUGGUUAUCAACGAUGGAUAUAAACACUGUUUAUGCUCCAUGUUCGUUUACACUGAUACUAGCAAUUUUUUUAUAAAUUUUUAAGGAUUAAUUGACCUUUUUUAUAUGAUUAUGCAGUUUUUGAAUAUUCUGGAGUGUCCUUAAGUUUUACUAAAUGUUCUGGAACUGUUCUGAGGAACGAGCAGGGGAAACAUCGAUAGAUAAUUUUGAAAAACCUUCAAAAUAAUAAUAAGAAACUUAAUGAACCUUAACUUUUGUUUAAUAAGUAGUCGAAAACCCUGUAUGUAAUAGAAAUAUAUCAAAAGUGGAUCCAGAUAAUUUUAUAAGAAAUUUUAAUCAUCAAAUUUUUUUCUUGAGAAUUUUUUCAGAUCUAUUAUGUUUUUUUGAAGUCAUUAUGGUUAUCAAUUAUUUCCAACCCGUUAAAACAUUUUUCAAAUAUAAAUCCUUUUUAGACGUUAAUUUGAAUUAUAAUUUUAUUAGACUAUAGAUUAAAUUUAAAAUAGUUAACAAGACCCAUGUAGGAAUUGUAAAAAUCUGGAACAAUGUUGAUGCAAAUAAAUUCAAAAAAUAUUUCGUUGGUUAUAUUGUAUCACUAGGGUAAGAGAAGACCAAUAAUUUGGGCAAACAAGGGGCCCAUUUCAUCGCCACCUGUAUCGUUCUAUUUGCCAGGAGGUUACUAACAAACAUAUUCCUGAAGCAGUUCCAAAAAAUGAUAUCUAUUGAUGCUCUGGAACUCUAAGAAGAGCUGUAGCAUAGAAGCUUUAAGGGGCACACGAUAGAUAUUUUUAGUGUGCGAUGUAAGUAUAAAACUGCAAGAGUUUCAAUCAAAUCUAUUGUAUUACUAUCAAAUAGUGACAGAUAUUAUUUUAAAUAAUAGAUUAAAGAGACAAAAAUAAAAGGAAAAAAA